AGAGUUUGAUCCUGGCUCAGAAUCAACGCUGGCGGCGUGCCUAACACAUGCAAGUCGCACGAGAAAGGGGAGCAAUCCCUGAGUAAAGUGGCGCACGGGUGAGUAACACGUGAAUGAUCUACCUCCGAGUGGGGAAUAACUGAGAGAAAUCUUAGCUAAUACCGCAUAACACUUACGAGUCAAAGCAGCAAUGCGCUUGGAGAGGAGUUCGCGGCCGAUUAGCUAGUUGGCGGGGUAAUGGCCCACCAAGGCGAUGAUCGGUAUCCGGCCUGAGAGGGCGCACGGACACACUGGAACUGAAACACGGUCCAGACUCCUACGGGAGGCAGCAGUGGGGAAUUUUGCGCAAUGGGGGAAACCCUGACGCAGCAACGCCGCGUGGAGGAUGAAGUAUCUUGGUACGUAAACUCCUUUCGAUGGGGAAGAUAAUGACGGUACCCAUAGAAGAAGCCCCGGCUAACUUCGUGCCAGCAGCCGCGGUAAUACGAGGGGGGCAAGCGUUGUUCGGAAUUAUUGGGCGUAAAGGGUGCGUAGGCGGUUUGACAAGUCUGAUGUGAAAUCUCUGGGCUCAACCCAGAGUCUGCAUCGGAAACUGUCGGGCUUGAGUAUGGGAGAGGUGAGUGGAAUUUCCGGUGUAGCGGUGAAAUGCGUAGAU
Molecule: ribosomal RNA, 655 nt
Filed under: uncultured bacterium
Lineage: Bacteria
Description: bacterial SSU rRNA
Rfam family: Bacterial small subunit ribosomal RNA
Source: RNAcentral